UACGAAGGGGGCUAGCGUUGUUCGGAUUUACUGGGCGUAAAGCGCACGUAGGCGGAUACUUAAGUCAGGGGUGAAAUCCCGGGGCUCAACCCCGGAACUGCCUUUGAUACUGGGUAUCUCGAGUUCGAGAGAGGUGAGUGGAAUUCCGAGUGUAGAGGUGAAAUUCGUAGAUAUUCGGAGGAACACCAGUGGCGAAGGCGACUUACUGGACGACUGUUGACGCUGAGGUGCGAAAGCGUGGGGAGCAAACAGG
RNAcentral lists this ribosomal RNA (253 nucleotides) under uncultured bacterium. RNAcentral describes it as "partial 16S ribosomal RNA". It matches the Rfam family "Bacterial small subunit ribosomal RNA", at positions 524 to 776 of the family's 1533-position model. The record is from RNAcentral.